Molecule: ribosomal RNA, 1287 nt
Filed under: metagenome
Description: bacterial SSU rRNA
Rfam family: Bacterial small subunit ribosomal RNA
Source: RNAcentral
UAGCUAGUUGGUGAGGUAAAGGCUUACCAAGGCGACGAUCUGUAGCGGGUCUGAGAGGAUGAUCCGCCACACUGGAACUGAGACACGGUCCAGACUCCUACGGGAGGCAGCAGUGGGGAAUUUUGGACAAUGGGGGCAACCCUGAUCCAGCCAUGCCGCGUGAGUGAAGAAGGCCUUCGGGUUGUAAAGCUCUUUCGGCCGGGAAGAAAUCGCAUGGGCCAAUACCCUGUGUGGAUGACGGUACCGGAAUAAGAAGCACCGGCUAACUACGUGCCAGCAGCCGCGGUAAUACGUAGGGUGCGAGCGUUAAUCGGAAUUACUGGGCGUAAAGCGUGCGCAGGCGGUUUUGUAAGACAGGCGUGAAAUCCCUGGGCUUAACCUGGGAACUGCGUUUGUGACUGCAAGGCUAGAGUACGGCAGAGGGGGGUGGAAUUCCACGUGUAGCAGUGAAAUGCGUAGAGAUGUGGAGGAACACCAAUGGCGAAGGCAGCCCCCUGGGUCGAUACUGACGCUCAUGCACGAAAGCGUGGGUAGCAAACAGGAUUAGAUACCCUGGUAGUCCACGCCCUAAACUAUGUCAACUAGGUGUUGGGUGGGUAAAACCAUUUAGUACCGUAGCUAACGCGUGAAGUUGACCGCCUGGGGAGUACGGCCGCAAGGUUAAAACUCAAAGGAAUUGACGGGGACCCGCACAAGCGGUGGAUGAUGUGGAUUAAUUCGAUGCAACGCGAAAAACCUUACCUACCCUUGGCAUGCCAGGAACUUGCCAGAGAUGGCUUGGUGCCCGAAAGGGAGCCUGGACACAGGUGCUGCAUGGCUGUCGUCAGCUCGUGUCGUGAGAUGUUGGGUUAAGUCCCGCAACGAGCGCAACCCUUGUCGUUAAUUGCCAUCAUUUGGUUGGGCGCUUUAACGAGACUGCCGGUGACAAACCGGAGGAAGGUGGGGAUGACGUCAAGUCCUCAUGGCCCUUAUGGGUAGGGCUUCACACGUCAUACAAUGGUCGGUACAAAGGGUUGCCAAGCCGCGAGGCGGAGCCAAUCCCAGAAAGCCGAUCGUAGUCCGGAUUGCAGGCUGCAACUCGCCUGCAUGAAGUCGGAAUCGCUAGUAAUCGUGGAUCAGCAUGUCACGGUGAAUACGUUCCCGGGUCUUGUACACACCGCCCGUCACACCAUGGGAGCGGGUUCCGCCAGAAGUAGGUAGCCUAACCGCAAGGAGGGCGCUUACCACGGCGGGGUUCGUGACUGGGGUGAAGUCGGAACAAGGUAGCCGUAGGGGAUCCUGCGGCUG